CGGGGAUAACUAGCGGAAACGUUAGCUAAUACCGGAUAGUCCUUUCUGGCGCAUGCUGGGGAGGGGAAAGGCGGAGCAAUCUGUCGCUUACGGAUGGGCCUGCGGCGCAUUAGCUAGUUGGUGAGGUAACGGCUCACCAAGGCGACGAUGCGUAGCCGACCUGAGAGGGUGAUCGGCCACACUGGGACUGAGACACGGCCCAGACUCCUACGGGAGGCAGCAGUAGGGAAUCUUCGGCAAUGGACGGAAGUCUGACCGAGCAACGCCGCGUGAGUGAGGAAGGUCUUCGGAUCGUAAAGCUCUGUUGCCAGGGAAGAAGGGCAA
This 324-nucleotide ribosomal RNA is filed under the name uncultured bacterium. RNAcentral describes it as "bacterial SSU rRNA". It matches the Rfam family "Bacterial small subunit ribosomal RNA", at positions 138 to 455 of the family's 1533-position model. The record is from RNAcentral.